RNAcentral lists this ribosomal RNA (161 nucleotides) under uncultured bacterium. Its description in RNAcentral is "partial 16S ribosomal RNA". It matches the Rfam family "Bacterial small subunit ribosomal RNA", at positions 1340 to 1500 of the family's 1533-position model. The record is from RNAcentral.
AAUCGCGGAUCAGCAUGCCGCGGUGAAUACGUUCCCGGGCCUUGUACACACCGCCCGUCACACCAUGAGAGUUUGUAACACCCAAAGCCGGUGGGGUAACCUUUUGGAGCCAGCCGUCUAAGGUGGGACAGAUGAUUGGGGUGAAGUCGUAACAAGGUAGC